CACGUAGGGUCCAAGCGUUGUCCGGAUUUAUUGGGCGUAAAGAGCUCGUAGGCGGCUUGGCAAGUCGGGUGUGAAGACUCUGGGCUCAACUCAGAGACGCCACUCGACACUGCUAUGGCUUGAGUCCGGUAGGGGAGCGUGGAAUUCCCGGUGUAGCGGUGAAAUGCGCAGAUAUCGGGAGGAACACCAGUGGCGAAGGCGGCGCUCUGGGCCGGAACUGACGCUGAGGAGCGAAAGCGUGGGGAGCGAACAGG
RNAcentral lists this ribosomal RNA (254 nucleotides) under uncultured bacterium. RNAcentral's name for it is "partial 16S ribosomal RNA". It matches the Rfam family "Bacterial small subunit ribosomal RNA", at positions 524 to 776 of the family's 1533-position model. The record is from RNAcentral.